CGGAACAGAAUCUUAUGUUAGAAUGUUCAAAAACCCACACCCUCCACCCACAGGGUUAAACCAAAGAUCCUUUUAACCCUCUCUGGUUAAACUAUGAGGUACAGAUAAUUGAGUCUUUUCAGGUGAUUCUUUCAGGUACAGCAACAGCAUGCCGAACAUGCCACAGAUGACGCGGCUGUUCUUCUGCGUCCACUCCUCGUCACAGAUCUGCCUCCAGCGGCCGCCGUCCUUAAUCUCCACGUAGCCCUCCGUUACUGGGGUCCGCUUACGCAGCGAGGAGAGGAUUGCGCGGAUACGGACGUCCUCCACGUGGAUGUUUAAGCUCUGCAGUCAGAACAUACAUUUAUGUUAACAUGUUUGGAGUAUGCUAGUACUCUCCUAGGAAUGUGAAUAAAUAUGUGUGAAUACCUCUAUA
Molecule: long non-coding RNA, 415 nt
Organism: Alosa sapidissima (American shad)
Lineage: Eukaryota; Metazoa; Chordata; Actinopteri; Clupeiformes; Clupeidae
Exons: 2
Source: RefSeq, a predicted model, not a curated record